AUGGAGUGGACAUGCAGGCUCAUUUUCCUGCUGGUGGCUGCCCCAGUCCAGCUGGUGCAGCCCGGGGCUGAGGUGAAGAGGCCUGGAGAGUCAGUGAAGGUCUCCUGCAAAGGCUCCGGCUACACCUUCACCGACUAUGCUAUAAACUGGGUGAAGCAGGUUCCAGGGAAAGGCCUGCAGUGGAUGGGCUGGAUCAACACCAAAACUUCAAAGCCAACAUAUGCUGAGGGCUUCACAGGACGAUUUGUCUUCUCCCUGGAUGCUUCUGUCAGCACAGCGUAUCUGCAGAUCAGCAGCCUGCAGGCUGAAGACAUGGCUGUGUAUUACUGUACGAGACACAGUGUAAAAAACCACAUCCUGAGCGUGUCAGAAACCCUGGGGGAUGAGCUCGGCCAGGCUGGGACAACCUGA
Heterocephalus glaber (naked mole-rat) is the source of this 411-nucleotide non-coding RNA. The record is from the annotation of a RefSeq genome assembly. Lineage: Eukaryota; Metazoa; Chordata; Mammalia; Rodentia; Bathyergidae.